GACGAACGCUGGCGGCGCGCCUAACACAUGCAAGUCGAACGAGCGAGAGGAGGUUUACUUUCUCAAGCGAGUGGCGAACGGGUGAGUAACGCGUGAGGAACCUGCCUCAAAGAGGGGGACAACAGUUGGAAACGACUGCUAAUACCGCAUAAGCCCACGACCCGGCAUCGGGGGGAGGGAAAAGGAGCGAUCCGCUUUGAGAUGGCCUCGCGUCCGAUUAGCUAGGUGGUGAGGUGAUGGCCCACCAAGGCGACGAUCGGUAGCCGGACGGGGAGGUGGAACGGCUGCAAUGGGAAUGAGACACGGCCCAGUCUCGGACGGGAGGCAGCAGUGGGGAAUAUUACGCAAGGAGGCAAACCCUGAUGCAGCGGCGCGGCGGAGAGGAAGCAGCUGUUCGUAUUGUAAACUCCUGUUGUUGGGGAAGAGAAUGACGGUACUCAAUAAGGAAGUGACGGCUAACUACGUG
Molecule: ribosomal RNA, 466 nt
Filed under: uncultured bacterium
Lineage: Bacteria
Description: partial 16S ribosomal RNA
Rfam family: Bacterial small subunit ribosomal RNA
Source: RNAcentral